Molecule: ribosomal RNA, 467 nt
Filed under: uncultured bacterium
Lineage: Bacteria
Description: partial 16S ribosomal RNA
Rfam family: Bacterial small subunit ribosomal RNA
Source: RNAcentral
GACGAACGCUGGCGGCGUGCUUAACACAUGCAAGUCGAACGGAAAGGCCCUGCUUUUGUGGGUGCUCGAGUGGCGAACGGGUGAGUAACACGUGAGUAACCUGCCCUUGACUUUGGGAUAACUUCAGGAAACUGGGGCUAAUACCGGAUAGGAGCUCCUGCUGCAUGGUGGGGGUUGGAAAGUUUCGGCGGUUGGGGAUGGACUCGCGGCUUAUCAGCUUGUUGGUGGGGUAGUGGCUUACCAAGGCUUUGACGGGUAGCCGGCCUGAGAGGGUGACCGGCCACAUUGGGACUGAGAUACGGCCCAGUCUCCUACGGGAGGCAGCAGUGGGGAAUAUUGCACAAUGGGCGGAAGCCUGAUGCAGCAACGCCGCGUGCGGGAUGACGGCCUUCGGGUUGUAAACCGCUUUCGCCUGUGACGAAGCGUGAGUGACGGUAAUGGGUAAAGAAGCACCGGCUAACUACGUG